ACUAGAUGAUGUUAAUUUAUAUUUGCUACUUCGGACGAGGCCUAUCUAGCUUCGAAUGAGACAUAUUUUAAUCACCAAGAUCUCUGAUACU
This is a small nucleolar RNA of 91 nucleotides. It matches the Rfam family "Small nucleolar RNA SNORD24". From Rfam's summary of the family: U24 is a member of the C/D class of snoRNA which contain the C (UGAUGA) and D (CUGA) box motifs. C/D box snoRNAs have been shown to act as methylation guides for a number of RNA targets.